UUAAGACUGGAUAGGAGACAAGAAGGCAUCUUCUUGUUUUUAAAAGACCUAGCACUAGGUAUGCUUAGGGAGGAGCUUGCGUCACAUUAGUUAGUUGGUGGGGUAAAGGCCUACCAAGACUAUGAUGUGUAGCCGGGCUGAGAGGUUGAACGGCCACAUUGGGACUGAGACACGGCCCAAACUCCUACGGGAGGCAGCAGUAGGUAAUUUUCGGCAAUGGAGGAAACUCUGACCGAGCAACGCCGCGUGAACGAUGAAGUAUUUCGGUACGUAAAGUUCUUUUAUUAGGGAAGAAUAAAUGAUGGAAAAAUCAUUCUGACGGUACCUAAUGAAUAAGCCCCGGCUAACUAUGUGCCAGCAGCCGCGGUAAUACAUAGGGGGCAAGCGUUAUCCGGAAUUAUUGGGCGUAAAGGGUGCGUAGGCGGUUAAAUAAGUUUAUGGUCUAAGUGCAAUGCUCAACAUUGUGAUGCUAUAAAAACUGUUUAGCUAGAGUAAGAUAGAGGCAAGUGGAAUUCCAUGUGUAGUGGUAAAAUGCGUAAAUAUAUGGAGGAACACCAGUAGCGAAGGCGGCUUGCUGGGUCUUUACUGACGCUGAGGCACGAAAGCGUGGGGAGCAAACAGGAUUAGAUACCCUGGUAGUCCACGCCGUAAACGAUGAGUACUAAACGUUGGGUAAAACCAGUGUUGAAGUUAACACAUUAAGUACUCCGCCUGAGUAGUACGUACGCAAGUAUGAAACUUAAAAGGAAUUGACGGGACUCCGCACAAGCCGGUGGGAUCAUGUUGGUAAUUCAUAGGUACCCGAAAAACUCCACCAGGUCCUUGGACAUGCUUCUGCAAAGCUGUUAGAAACACAAUUGAGGUUAUCAGUUGCCCAGGUGGUGCAUGGUUGUCGUCAGCUCGUGUCGUGAGAUGUUGGGUUAAGUCCCGCAACGAGCGCAACCCUUAUUGUUAGUUACCAGCACGUAAUGGUGGGGACUUUAGCAAGACUGCCAGUGAUAAAUUGGAGGAAGGUGGGGACGACGUCAAAUCAUCAUGCCCCUUAUGACCUGGGCUACAAACGUGAUACAAUGGCUGUUACAAAGGGUAGCUGAAGCGCAAGUUUUUGGCGAAUCUCAAAAAACAGUCUCAGUUCGGAUUGAAGUCUGCAACUCGACUUCAUGAAGUUGGAAUCGCUAGUAAUCGCGAAUCAGCAUGUCGCGGUGAAUACGUUCUCGGGGUUUGUACACACCUGCCAAG
This 1239-nucleotide ribosomal RNA is filed under the name Cassava witches'-broom aster yellows phytoplasma. RNAcentral's name for it is "bacterial SSU rRNA". It matches the Rfam family "Bacterial small subunit ribosomal RNA", at positions 163 to 1401 of the family's 1533-position model. Lineage: Bacteria; Bacillati; Mycoplasmatota; Mollicutes; Acholeplasmatales; Acholeplasmataceae. The record is from RNAcentral.